UUUAACCAGGGAGGCAAUUUGUCCCAAAUGCCUCGAUUUCUUCAUCGAUCCAAUGUCUUUGGAGUGUGGGCACAACUUCUGCCGCUCCUGUAUUGGGAAAGGGAGGGGAGAAACUCCUGCCCGGAAUGUAGAGAGGAGAUUGCAGACCGCACUCUCAGGGUCAAUAGGGCCUUGGCAAAUCUGUCUGAGAAAGCUCGAAAACUAAACCUGAAUCCGAAAGGGAAGGAAAGUAAACUUCACUGCGAGGAACACGAGGAAGAACUGAAGCUGUUUUGUGAAACCGACAAGAAACUAAUCUGUGUGAUUUGUAGAGACCUGGCUGUUGAAAUCUACAAAAUAACUCAAACUUGAUACAUACUCAGCCCACCGUCCCUUGUCCUAACUACGACCACACGAGCCUCCGUAACCAAGAAAAGAAAUCAGACUUCCAGGGAAAGAAGCAGCAACAGAAAGAGAAGAUUUCAGGAGUUCAGGAACAGUCACACAGCCUUGAGUCCCACAUCACAUCCCAGUUUGCUGAACUGCGCCGGAUUAUCACCGAGAAAGAGCAGCACACACUCCGAGAUCUCAGGGAAGAGGAAGAGAGGAUUCUAAAUCCAAUGGAGAAAAAUCUUUAAGAUGAGGGAUUAU
Long non-coding RNA from Hypanus sabinus (Atlantic stingray), 630 nucleotides. RefSeq lists it as uncharacterized. NCBI's taxonomy places the organism in Eukaryota, Metazoa, Chordata, Chondrichthyes, Myliobatiformes, Dasyatidae. The transcript is spliced from 3 exons. The record is from RefSeq and is a predicted model, not a curated record.